AUAACUCCAUGACUAUAUGUUUGAUGUUUUCAUUGAAUUUAGUUUCAUCUACGAUCUGACAUUUUCUUACGAGAAAACUGUUGUUUACUAUCAGUUGUGAUUUUUUUGUGUAAAAGAACCCUGUCGACUCAGUGCGCGGCAACGUUCUAUUAUACAUUUACCGAUUGCAAAUCGGCAUUGCGUUCAUAAUCCAAAGUUUAUACACUACGAUCGGAUCAUGCAUUUUGGUAAACAUUAUUGGAAUUCCCAAAACUCAAAACCAUGAUGAAAUCACUCUCCCCUCAUCUGUUACUGUGACGGAGUUAACUUCGGUUCCAGUACAGUUAUCAAGUUUAUCAACCAACGGUACUCCGAGAAGAAGACCAAGACUUCCACCAUUUUCACCAAUUUCCCGAUUAGACAAUGAAAAGCCUCUUUCUACAACGAUUACUGGAAUUGACUUUACUUCAGUUCGAAUAAAUUCAUCGAGUUCUCCGAGAAUUAGACCGAGACGUCCAACAUUAGCGUAAAUUCUUCGAUUAGAUAAUGGAGAGAUUGUCCUUACAACAAUCAACGAAAUGCAAUGAAGUUCAGUUGGAGUGAAUUUAAUGAGUUCACCAGCCAACAGUGCACCGACAACUAUAUCGAGACGUGCACAAUUGCCAACAAUUCCUCUAUUAGAUUCUGAAGAAAUAGUCCAGACAUCAUGCCGACAGAAAGAAUACAUAUAAUAUACGAAGUUAAUGAUCUGCAGAUUAAACGUCGUUAAGAAUUGGCUAACAAAAAUGACGGGAAAAAUCAAAUAAACCAAUUAAUUAGAAACAUCGAAUCAGAAUUACGAUGCAAUAUUUGCUUUGAAAUUUUUACUAAGCCAACUAUUCUUAACUGUUCACACAUGUUUUACCAUCAGUGUAUUGAAACUUGGACGAACAGUAUUAAUAAAUGUCCAUUAUGUCGAACGUUGGUGACAAAUAAGACGUAUUGUCUUCCAUUAAACACAUUUUUAAAUAAAAUAAGUCCCUGUUUAUUAGAUGAAAUAAGUGGAAGACGUGAAUAACUGAAAAUAAAAAUAAUGAAUGGUACGACUAAUAUAAGCAUACAAUGAAAUAAUAGAAAUAAUAUGAUGCACCGCAUUGGACUGACGUGAAGAUACCGAGAGGAAUAAUACUAG
Molecule: long non-coding RNA, 1150 nt
Organism: Sipha flava (yellow sugarcane aphid)
Lineage: Eukaryota; Metazoa; Arthropoda; Insecta; Hemiptera; Aphididae
Exons: 7
Source: RefSeq, a predicted model, not a curated record